This 1037-nucleotide unclassified non-coding RNA is filed under the name Hevea brasiliensis (rubber tree). Lineage: Eukaryota; Viridiplantae; Streptophyta; Magnoliopsida; Malpighiales; Euphorbiaceae. The record is from RNAcentral.
CAAAAAUGUCAGGGAAUAGCGGUGGAGAUUUACGCGUCUUACCUGAAGGCUGCGUAGCAAACGUUCUGUCGCUUACGGGUCCUCUGGAUGCGGGCAGAUUGUCUACGNUUCAACAUUCAAGUCGGCUGCUGAAUCCGACUCCGUUUGGGAGCGUUUCCUUCCUUCAGAGUACCUCUCUAUUAUAUCAGGUUCUUCUGAUUCUUCUCUCUUGGCCUCUUCUUCCUCCAAGAAAGAUCUCUUUCUCCGUCUCUGCGACGAUCCUAUCCUCAUUGAUGGCGGCAAGAAGAGCUUUUCGCUGCAUAAAUGGAGUGGGAAGAAAUGUUACAUGCUUUCUGCGAGGGACCUCAUGAUUGUGUGGGGUGAUACUCCUAGAUAUUGGAGAUGGACUUCUGAACUCAAAUCCAGAUUUGCAGACGUAGCUGAGCUUAUUGGCGUGUGCUGGCUUGAAAUCCGUGGUAAAAUUAACACUUAUAUGUUAUCCCGAGAAACGCUCUAUGUAGCUUAUCUUGUGUAUAGGACAACAGCAGGAGCCUAUGGUUUUGAACACCAGCCUGUAGAUGUCACAGUGGGACUCGCCGGAACUGAAGGUUGUAGGAGAAGUGUUUAUUUGGAUGAAGAAAGAGAGCGACAGCAGCGAUACCAAAUUGUCGCGAUGCGAGUGGGGUUAUUCCCCCGCAGCCAUGCAGUAGGGUUGCAAGCACCUGCAUCAACUAGGGAGAACAAGAACAAUGGUCAUCAUCGUUCACAUGAAAGAGAAGAUGGGUGGUUGGAGAUGGAACUUGGCGAGUUCUUUAACAGGGAAGGUGAAGAUGGGGAAUUGGAAAUAAGCAUUUCAGAAGUGAAUGGAGGUGAUUGGAAAGGUGGGCUCAUUGUUCAAGGUAUAGAGAUCAGGCCGAAAGAGGACAAAUAUCAAAACAACUAAGCAAGUAAGGGUCUUCAACUCUUCCUUUCCAAAGAAAAAAAUUGUUUAGUCAUGAUUGUAUUUGUAUCUGGUGCAUGGUGAUGUUUGACUUAGGCCUAAUCAUCUUGAAGUUGUC